UUAGAAGAAAAACUUCCAGAGUAAAGUGUGUGUGUGUGUAUUGUAUGCGACACCAAGAAGGAAGAAGGAGAGUUGAUUUUUAUCUCUAAAAAAAAUUAUGGAAAUCUUGAUGAAAAAGACAUUAGUAGCAAUGCCCACUUGAUUGUUAAAUCUCCAGGAACACAAGUGAUUAAGAUUGAAGAUAAGAAAGGGGCACCGCUAUCAUCGUCUUUAAUUGACAAAGUAUAAUGGCUUGAAAGAAUAAGAACCAUGUCAAGAUGGACCAACUCAUGGGAAGCAAACGGGUCAAAGAGGAGGCAAAGAAACUAGCAUAAACAUGGCGAGCACAAGGUAAGUGAUUUCCAUAAUCACUUCUUAGUUUGUUUAAGUAAUAUAAUGUUUAAUUAUUAAGUUCAUAUGAAGUUGAGGUCAAAUCAAUAGAUUAUUUUGAUAAAUGCAUGAACGGGUCGAAUAAUUCGUAGAUGAAUAAUAAGCCGAACACGUAUAAGUUAAGAAAUUCCUUAACUCGGAUGUUGGAUUUCAAGUUCACAUGAUAGAAUGUUAAUUUACAAUCAUGUAGGAAGAAACGUGACUCAAAACAGAUGAAAAAUGAGAGAGUUAUGUCCGUUUCGGUAAAAAUUAAUGGCUAGGAAAAGUGCAGAGCUGACACGGCCGGGUGGUGAGCUGACACGGCCGGGUGAAGGUUCUGUGAAAAAUAUUAUUUAUGUGAUUUACGCAUCGUAGGCUUCGAUAUAUUAUCCGUGGACUACGGUGGGCCUCCCAAACAUGAUUUCGAGUGUUCCCUUGACGAUUAUAAGUUGUACACCCAAGUCUAAGCCUCAUGUAAUUUAUAUAAGAGUAUGAUAGAUGUAUGUAAUGAUGACUAGGGAGGUGUGUUAAUUAAGUUAAGUGAAUAGGAUGGUAUGUAGGUAUGAAUAAUUGGAGUCAUGGUGAGUUUAAGUCGUAUAAAUUAGUAUGCGUGAUGUGUAUAAAAGAUAUAUAUAUAUAUAUAUACAUACGUAUGUACAUAAUUAUGCGAAAGGCGUACAUUGUGUUGUAGUUAAAUAGAUGCAUAUAAAUGGUUGGCGACCUUUUUACGAAGAUGUAGUACUUGAAUAUGUUGAGAUUACGGGUUUGCUAACCAAGUUAUUAUUGAGUAUGUUUGAAAGUGCAGGUUUAUGAAUGUCGGACUUUCGAAGUGUUGAUAUAGUAAUGAAAUGAUUGAAUGUUGGAAGGAUAAUCGGGUUGAAGUAACUUAAGCGGUUAGAAUAUGCUAUGGACGUUUUAGUUUAUACAAUAUUUUAUGUUUGGUCGUCACCACCUACUAACGGGUUAGUUGUAUGAGAGUAUAUGUCAUACCCAUUUAGUUGGGUAAUCGAAUGCGUAAGAGAAAUGAACGUACGUACACGAAUGGAACCAAAAUGACGGUUUUAUAAGCAAACAAGUAUAACGACUAACUUUUCAAAGCUUUGUUGUUGAAUGUAGGUAAAUCCUCAAUUUAGGCGACUUGGAGAAUCGGAGCGAGCGCGUGUUCAUGUUAUGUCAUACCAAACACUUCCGCUAGCUUGUUCAAAUGUUUUUGGUCCAAAAUUUGUUGUAUUGGUUCUUAGUAGUAUCUUGUUGAACGAAGUGUAGAAUUGUAUCUAGUUUGAUUAUGUUUAAAACAGGGGUAUGCUCGUUAUACGGACGGGUCAUGCCCAAAUUUUGUUAAAAUUAAUGCAUAUAUGU
This 1707-nucleotide long non-coding RNA is filed under the name Helianthus annuus (common sunflower). RNAcentral describes it as "hypothetical non coding rna". Lineage: Eukaryota; Viridiplantae; Streptophyta; Magnoliopsida; Asterales; Asteraceae. The record is from RNAcentral.